Molecule: ribosomal RNA, 2985 nt
Filed under: Salmonella enterica subsp. enterica serovar Senftenberg
Lineage: Bacteria; Pseudomonadati; Pseudomonadota; Gammaproteobacteria; Enterobacterales; Enterobacteriaceae
Description: 23S ribosomal RNA
Rfam family: Bacterial large subunit ribosomal RNA
Source: RNAcentral
GGUUAAGCGACUAAGCGUACACGGUGGAUGCCCGGCAGUCAGAGGCGAUGAAGGGCGUGCUAAUCUGCGAUAAGCGCCGGUAAGGUGAUAUGAACCGUUAUAACCGGCGAUACCCGAAUGGGGAAACCCAGUGUGAUUCGUCACACUAUCAUUAACUGAAUCCAUAGGUUAAUGAGGCGAACCGGGGAACUGAAACAUCUAAGUACCCCGAGGAAAAGAAAUCAACCGAGAUUCCCCAGUAGCGGCGAGCGAACGGGGAGGAGCCCAGAGCCUGAAUCAGCAUGUGUGUUAGUGGAAGCGUCUGGAAAGGCGCGCGAUACAGGGUGACAGCCCCGUACACAAAAGCGCAUGUGCUGUGAGCUCGAUGAGUAGGGCGGGACACGUGGUAUCCUGUCUGAAUAUGGGGGACCAUCCUCCAAGGCUAAAUACUCCUGACUGACCGAUAGUGAACCAGUACCGUGAGGGAAAGGCGAAAAGAACCCCGGCGAGGGAGUGAAAAAGAACCUGAAACCGUGUACGUACAAGCAGUGGGAGCCCCACCACUAAGCCAGUGGUGAACUCCACAUACGCAUCCUUUGCUGAGGAUACGGUUAACGGAGCGAAAGCGACGUUCAACCUCAAAAGAAGCAGAGGGGGCUUAGUGGUGGGGUGACUGCGUACCUUUUGUAUAAUGGGUCAGCGACUUAUAUUCUGUAGCAAGGUUAACCGUAUAGGGAGCCGGAGGAAACCGAGUCUUAAUUGGGCGUUAAGUUGCAGGGUAUAGACCCGAAACCCGGUGAUCUAGCCAUGGGCAGGUUGAAGGUUGGGUAACACUAACUGGAGGACCGAACCGACUAAUGUUGAAAAAUUAGCGGAUGACCUGUGGCUGGGGUGAAAGGCCAAUCAAACCGGGAGAUAGCUGGUUCUCCCGAAAGCUAUUUAGGUAGCGCCUCGUGAAUUCAUCUCCGGGGUAGAGCACUGUUUCGGCUAGGGGCCAUCCCGGCUUACCAACCCGAUGCAAACUGCGAAUACCGGAGAAUGUUAUCACGGGAGACACACGGCGGGUGCUAACGUCCGUCGUGAAGAGGGAAACAACCCAGACCGCCAGCUAAGGUCCCAAAGUCAUGGUUAAGUGGGAAACGAUGUGGGAAGGCCCAGACAGCCGGAUGUUGGCUUAGAAGCAGCCAUCAUUUAAAGAAAGCGUAAUAGCUCACUGGUCGAGUCGGCCUGCGCGGAAGAUGUAACGGGGCUAAACCAUGCACCGAAGCUGCGGCAGCGACGCUGAUGCGUUGUUGGGUAGGGGAGCGUUCUGUAAGCCUGUGAAGGUGGCCUGUGAGGGUUGCUGGAGGUAUCAGAAGUGCGAAUGCUGACAUAAGUAACGAUAAAGCGGGUGAAAAGCCCGCUCGCCGGAAGACCAAGGGUUCCUGUCCAACGUUAAUCGGGGCAGGGUGAGUCGACCCUAAGGCGAGGCCGAAAGGCGUAGUCGAUGGGAAACGGGUUAAUAUUCCCGUACUUGGUGUUACUGCGAAGGGGGACGGAGAAGGCUAUGUUGGCCGGGCGACGGUUGUCCCGGUUUAAGCGUGUAGGUGUGUGUUCGUAAAUCCGGUUCACUUUAACACUGAGGCGUGACGACGAGGCACUACGGUGCUGAAGCAACAAAUGCCCUGCUUCCGGAAAAGCCUCUAAGCAUCAGGUAACAUCAAAUCGUACCCCAAACCGACACAGGUGGUCAGGUAGAGAAUACCAAGGCGCUUGAGAGAACUCGGGUGAAGGAACUAGGCAAAAUGGUGCCGUAACUUCGGGAGAAGGCACGCUGACACGUAGGUGAAGUGAUUUACUCAUGGAGCUGAAGUCAGUCGAAGAUACCAGCUGGCUGCAACUGUUUAUUAAAAACACAGCACUGUGCAAACACGAAAGUGGACGUAUACGGUGUGACGCCUGCCCGGUGCCGGAAGGUUAAUUGAUGGGGUCAGCGCAAGCGAAGCUCCUGAUCGAAGCCCCGGUAAACGGCGGCCGUAACUAUAACGGUCCUAAGGUAGCGAAAUUCCUUGUCGGGUAAGUUCCGACCUGCACGAAUGGCGUAAUGAUGGCGCUGUCUCCACCCGAGACUCAGUGAAAUUGAACUCGCUGUGAAGAUGCAGUGUACCCGCGGCAAGACGGAAAGACCCCGUGAACCUUUACUAUAGCUUGACACUGAACAUUGAGCCUUGAUGUGUAGGAUAGGUGGGAGGCUUUGAAGUGUGGACGCCAGUCUGCAUGGAGCCGACCUUGAAAUACCACCCUUUAAUGUUUGAUGUUCUAACGUGGACCCGUGAUCCGGGUUGCGGACAGUGUCUGGUGGGUAGUUUGACUGGGGCGGUCUCCUCCUAAAGAGUAACGGAGGAGCACGAAGGUUGGCUAAUCUGGUCGGACAUCAGGAGGUUAGUGCAAUGGCAUAAGCCAGCUUGACUGCGAGCGUGACGGCGCGAGCAGGUGCGAAAGCAGGUCAUAGUGAUCCGGUGGUUCUGAAUGGAAGGGCCAUCGCUCAACGGAUAAAAGGUACUCCGGGGAUAACAGGCUGAUACCGCCCAAGAGUUCAUAUCGACGGCGGUGUUUGGCACCUCGAUGUCGGCUCAUCACAUCAUCGGGGCUGAAGUAGGUCCCAAGGGUAUGGCUGUUCGCCAUUUAAAGUGGUACGCGAGCUGGGUUUAGAACGUCGUGAGACAGUUCGGUCCCUAUCUCGCCGUGGGCGCUGGAGAACUGAGGGGGCUGCUCCUAGUACGAGAGGACCGGAGUGGACGCAUCACUGGUGUUCGGGUUGUCAUGCCAAUGGCACUGCCCGGUAGCUAAAUGCGGAAGAGAUAAGUGCUGAAAGCAUCUAAGCACGAAACUUGCCCCGAGAUGAGUUCUCCUGAGACUUAGAGUCUCCUGAAGGAACGUUGAAGACGACGACGUUGAUAGGCCGGGUGUGUAAGCGCAGCGAUGCGUUGAGCUAACCGGUACUAAUGAACCGUGAGGCUUAACCUU